RNAcentral lists this ribosomal RNA (793 nucleotides) under uncultured bacterium. RNAcentral's name for it is "bacterial SSU rRNA". It matches the Rfam family "Bacterial small subunit ribosomal RNA", at positions 8 to 796 of the family's 1533-position model. The record is from RNAcentral.
AGAGUUUGAUCAUGGCUCAGGAUGAACGCUAGCGGCAGGCUUAACACAUGCAAGUCGAGGGGUAACAGGUGUAGCAAUACAUGCUGACGACCGGCGCACGGGUGAGUAUCGCGUAUGCAACCUACCUUUUACUGGAGGAUAGCCCAAGGAAACUCGGAUUAAUACUCCAUAAAUUCCUGAAUUCGCAUGUUUUCAGGAUUAAAGCUCCGGCGGUAAGAGAUGGGCAUGCGUGCCAUUAGCUAGUUGGUGAGGUAACGGCUCACCAAGGCUGCGAUGGCUAGGGGGCCUGAGAGGGUAAUCCCCCACACUGGUACUGAGACACGGACCAGACUCCUACGGGAGGCAGCAGUGAGGAAUAUUGGGCAAUGGACGAAAGUCUGACCCAGCCAUGCCGCGUGCAGGAUGAAUGCCCUAUGGGUUGUAAACUGCUUUUCUACGGGAAGAAAUGUUCCGACGUGUCGGAAUUCGACGGUACCGUAGGAAUAAGCAUCGGCUAACUCCGUGCCAGCAGCCGCGGUAAUACGGAGGAUGCAAGCGUUAUCCGGAUUUAUUGGGUUUAAAGGGUGCGUAGGCGGAAUAAUAAGUCAGUGGUGAAAUCUUGCGGCUCAACCGUAAAAUUGCCUCUGAUACUGUUAUUCUUGAGUGCAGUUGAGGUAGGCGGAAUGUGUAAUGUAGCGGUGAAAUGCAUAGAUAUUACACAGAACACCAAUUGCGAAGGCAGCUUACUAAACUGUGACUGACGCUGAGGCACGAAAGCGUGGGGAGCAAACAGGAUUAGAUACCCUAGUAGUCC